AUCCAGACUCCUACGGGAGGCAGCAGUGGGGGAUAUUGGACAAUGGGGGGAACCCUGAUCCAGCGACGCCGCGUGAGUGAAGAAGUAUUUCGGUACGUAAAGCUCUGUCAGCAGGGAAGAAAAUGACGGUACCUGAAUAAGAAGCACCGGCUAAAUACGUGCCAGCAGCCGCGGUAAUACGUAUGGUGCAAGCGUUAUCCGGAUUUACUGGGCGUAAAGGGAGCGCGGGCGGCGCGCCAAGUCUGAUGUGAAACCCCGGGGCUCAACCCCGGGCAUGCAUUGGAAACUGGCGGGCUGGAGUGCCGGAGAGGUAAGCGGAAUUCCUAGUGUAGCGGUGAAAUGCGUAGAUAUUAGGAGGAACACCAGUGGCGAAGGCGGCUUACUGGACGGCAACUGACGCUGAGGCUCGAAAGCGUGGGGAGCAAACAGGAUUAGAUACCCUAGUA
Molecule: ribosomal RNA, 446 nt
Filed under: uncultured bacterium
Lineage: Bacteria
Description: bacterial SSU rRNA
Rfam family: Bacterial small subunit ribosomal RNA
Source: RNAcentral